RNAcentral lists this ribosomal RNA (153 nucleotides) under Crotalaria pilosa. RNAcentral's name for it is "partial 5.8S ribosomal RNA". The stretch from base 1 to 113 matches the Rfam family "5.8S ribosomal RNA", at positions 44 to 154 of the family's 154-position model. From Rfam's summary of the family: 5.8S ribosomal RNA (5.8S rRNA) is a component of the large subunit of the eukaryotic ribosome. Lineage: Eukaryota; Viridiplantae; Streptophyta; Magnoliopsida; Fabales; Fabaceae. The record is from RNAcentral.
CGCAGCGAAAUGCGAUACUUGGUGUGAAUUGCAGAAUCCCGUGAACCAUCGAGUCUUUGAACGCAAGUUGCGCCCGAAGCCAUUAGGCUGAGGGCAUGCCUGCCUGGGUGUCGCCCAUCGUUGCCCCAGUGCCUUGGCCUCAUGCUAGGCACC